YUACGUGCCAGCAGCCGCGGUAAUACGGAGGGUGCGAGCGUUAAUCGGAAUAACUGGGCGUAAAGGGCACGCAGGCGGUGACUUAAGUGAGGUGUGAAAGCCCCGGGCUUAACCUGGGAAUUGCAUUUCAUACUGGGUCGCUAGAGUACUUUAGGGAGGGGUAGAAUUCCACGUGUAGCGGUGAAAUGCGUAGAGAUGUGGAGGAAUACCGAAGGCGAAGGCAGCCCCUUGGGAAUGUACUGACGCUCAUGUGCGAAAGCGUGGGGAGCAAACAGGAUUAGAUACCCUGGUAGUCCACGCUGUAAACGAUGUCGAUUUGGGGGUUGAACUUUAAGUUUGGCGCCCGUAGCUAACGUGAUAAAUCGACCGCCUGGGGAGUACGGCCGCAAGGUUAAAACUCAAAUGAAUUGACGGGGGCCCGCACAAGCGGUGGAGCAUGUGGUUUAAUUCGAUGCAACGCGAAGAACCUUACCUACUCUUGAC
This 483-nucleotide ribosomal RNA is filed under the name uncultured bacterium. RNAcentral describes it as "bacterial SSU rRNA". It matches the Rfam family "Bacterial small subunit ribosomal RNA", at positions 501 to 985 of the family's 1533-position model. The record is from RNAcentral.